UGAUCUUGAGGUGCUCGGAUUGGAAACGGGACCCUGUUUGACCUACUUCCCCCCUUCCAUCCCGGAUUCAAUCCCCACAUCCUACCCACCGGAUCCAAUCCAGAUCAGCGCUCCACGAGAGCGAGGCGCGGCUGGCGGCGCAUGAAGGCAAGGGCGAGAGCGACGGCGCGCGAGGUGACAGCGCACCGGCACAGCGGCACACCGGUGGCGAGCUUGUCCACCGCCGCCUUCUCACCAAUCCCACUGUACCAUUUAGAGUUGGGGAAGACGAACCUCCCCCUUCUUGGGAUCCGGUACCAACUCCAAAAGAUUGGUGAUGCUUUUGACUGCAUUGUUCUUUCUGCAAAAUACAUGGUGCUUUCUAUAUCCUUUAGCUCAAAGUUCUUUUCUUUCUCUGUGCCUUUAGGAUGUCUUAUACUACUAAAAUGUGAAUAAUAGUAGUGCAUAUAUGAAAUGUUAUGUUCAAGGAACAAGCUUUAGGGAACAGCAAUAGUUCAUCUCUACUCAAUUUUUUUGCAUAUCUUCUAUAUUGAGUUCCUGUCAUUCACUUUGCUAAACACUGAACAGAGUCAUUCAUCUAGUUAAACUGUGUUCCUAUCAUUCACUUUGCUGCAGCUAAGUAAAUUAGGCCAUGACAUGAUUUCUUGAACAUAUUUUGUUACCUAACUAUACAAUAAGCUGCUAAUCAAGCUCGUGAUUAAAUAAAGUGUAGUGCAACAAUAUGUUGACUAACCCAUAUCUCUGUGGUUUAGCUGUGUGAAGGAAGAUGGUGUCAAGAAGGAUGAGUAAAUAAGCAAUCAAUUUCUUGAGUUAGCUUGUUAGAACUUGUACAAUCAUGUAGAGAAGGGGGACCAUAUAGACCUUGAAUCUGUAGGAUUAUGAUUUAUGAUCACUGUGUUGGUUCUCAAUCUGAGUUCAAGUUUGUCAGAUAGCUGAUUUGAUUUUUUUUCACUCUAUUUAGAUAGCUGAUUCAUUUUGACAACCAUCCUGCACUUUAUUUGUCAGUGUUUCUUGCUGGAACUGACCAAAUAUAGCCCAGACUGCCACCAUCUUGUAUAUGCUUGUACAGUAUUGAGUUAGUACACCAUUUUUGCUUAA
Molecule: long non-coding RNA, 1098 nt
Organism: Panicum virgatum (switchgrass)
Lineage: Eukaryota; Viridiplantae; Streptophyta; Magnoliopsida; Poales; Poaceae
Exons: 2
Source: RefSeq, a predicted model, not a curated record